AAAUGGGAAGUCUGAAUGGGAGAACGUGUGCGUUGCAUGCUUUCUUCUCACGUUCCAGCCACCUGGCUCACCCGGAACACACUUUAACUUCAGUGAGCCAUUGGUUCCUCAAGUUGAUUUUUUCUUCGUCCAAGGCUGUGAGAUCGCCUUGGAAGAAUAUUAAACAAGGACCAGAUCUCAGACCGAAAAUUCCAAGAGGACAGAACCUUCCGCGUUUGGUUGUACUGCAAUCAAUACAAGAUGGAUAUAGAUCGCGUCUCGCAUAAUAGAGAAGGAGU
Long non-coding RNA from Daphnia pulicaria, 278 nucleotides. RefSeq lists it as uncharacterized. Lineage: Eukaryota; Metazoa; Arthropoda; Branchiopoda; Diplostraca; Daphniidae. The record is from RefSeq and is a predicted model, not a curated record. The transcript has 3 exons.